RNAcentral lists this ribosomal RNA (253 nucleotides) under uncultured bacterium. Its description in RNAcentral is "partial 16S ribosomal RNA". It matches the Rfam family "Bacterial small subunit ribosomal RNA", at positions 524 to 776 of the family's 1533-position model. The record is from RNAcentral.
UACGUAGGGUGCAAGCGUUGUCCGGAAUUAUUGGGCGUAAAGAGCUCGUAGGCGGUUUGUCGCGUCUGCUGUGAAAACCCGAGACUCAACCUCGGGCCUGCAGUGGGUACGGGCAGACUAGAGUGCGGUAGGGGAGAUUGGAAUUCCUGGUGUAGCGGUGGAAUGCGCAGAUAUCAGGAGGAACACCAAUGGCGAAAGCAGCUUUCUGGGACGGUACUGACGCUGAGACGCGAAAGCGUGGGGAGCGAACAGG